This 245-nucleotide unclassified non-coding RNA is filed under the name Coprinopsis cinerea. RNAcentral describes it as "ITS1". Lineage: Eukaryota; Fungi; Basidiomycota; Agaricomycetes; Agaricales; Psathyrellaceae. The record is from RNAcentral.
UUGAAUAAAUCUGACGUGGUUGUCGCUGGCUCCCCCGGGAGCAUGUGCACGCCCGUCACCUUUAUUUCUCCACCUGUGCACACACUGUAGGCCUGGAUACCUCUCGUCGCAAGGCGGAUGCGUGGCUUGCUGUCGCUUUCGAAAGAAGGCCGGCUUGCCAUGAAUUUCCAGGUCUAUGAUUUCUUACACACCCCAAACUGAAUGUUAUGGAAUGUCAUCUCAAGGCCUUGUGCCUAUAAACCUAU